AACGAACGCUGGCGGCAUGCCUAACACAUGCAAGUCGAACGAGACCUUCGGGUCUAGUGGCGCACGGGUGCGUAACGCGUGGGAACCUGCCCUUAGGUUCGGAAUAACUCCCCGAAAGGGGUGCUAAUACCGGAUAAUGUCUUCGGACCAAAGAUUUAUCGCCUUUGGAUGGGCCCGCGUUGGAUUAGCUAGUUGGUAGGGUAAAAGCCUACCAAGGCGACGAUCCAUAGCUGGUCUGAGAGGAUGAUCAGCCACACUGGGACUGAGACACGGCCCAGACUCCUACGGGAGGCAGCAGUGGGGAAUAUUGGACAAUGGGCGAAAGCCUGAUCCAGCAAGGCCGCGGGAGUGAUGAAGGCCUUAGGGUUGUAAAGCUCUUUUACCCGGGAUGAUAAGGACAGUACCGGGAGAAUAAGCUCCGGCUAACUCCGU
This 432-nucleotide ribosomal RNA is filed under the name uncultured bacterium. RNAcentral's name for it is "partial 16S ribosomal RNA". It matches the Rfam family "Bacterial small subunit ribosomal RNA", at positions 29 to 506 of the family's 1533-position model. The record is from RNAcentral.